Molecule: ribosomal RNA, 483 nt
Filed under: uncultured bacterium
Lineage: Bacteria
Description: partial 16S ribosomal RNA
Rfam family: Bacterial small subunit ribosomal RNA
Source: RNAcentral
GAUGAACGCUGGCGGCGUGCCUAACACAUGCAAGUCGAACGGAGUCGUUUUGGAAAUCUCUUCGGAGAUGGAAUUCUCGACUUAGUGGCGGACGGGUGAGUAACGCGUGAGCAAUCUGCCUUUAAGAGGGGGAUAACAGUCGGAAACGGCUGCUAAUACCGCAUAAAGCAUUAAAUUCGCAUGUUUUUGAUGCCAAAGGAGCAAUCCGCUUUUAGAUGAGCUCGCGUCUGAUUAGCUAGUUGGCGGGGUAACGGCCCACCAAGGCGACGAUCAGUAGCCGGACUGAGAGGUUGAACGGCCACAUUGGGACUGAGACACGGCCCAGACUCCUACGGGAGGCAGCAGUGGGGAAUAUUGCGCAAUGGGGGAAACCCUGACGCAGCAACGCCGCGUGAUUGAAGAAGGCCUUCGGGUUGUAAAGAUCUUUAAUCAGGGACGAAACAAAUGACGGUACCUGAAGAAUAGGCUCCGGCUAACUACGUG